This 8163-nucleotide long non-coding RNA is filed under the name Capsicum annuum. RNAcentral describes it as "long non-coding RNA (CANN_LNC016994)". The record is from RNAcentral. Lineage: Eukaryota; Viridiplantae; Streptophyta; Magnoliopsida; Solanales; Solanaceae.
UCGAAUCUAUUCAAACAAUCUAAGCUAAUAGGGCGAGGCAUGAGCCUAGAGUAUGUUGCUUCAGUUGUGAAAGAUGGGUCCAAAUUGGUUCAAUUACAAGCAAGUGAUGUGGAUAUGGACACUGAAAAAUGGAAAAAAGCUCUUACACUCUAUGUUGUUGGUGCUUCUCUAAUGAUUGGGUCCUUAGAGAGGUUUAUAGCAGAGCAAUGGAACUUUGCAGCCAAGCCAAAGAUAUACUAUCAUAAUGAGGGUUAUUUUGUUGUGUUGUUCACUUUGUUGGAAAAUUGAGAUGCAAUUCUAUCAUCAGGACCUUAUAUGCUUAACAAUAAACCAAUAAUCUUAAAGGUAUGGUCAGAGAAGUUUGAUUUUAGUGCUAAGGUUUUAACUACGCUCCCUAUAUGGGUUAAGUUCUCCAAUUUACCACUGAAUUAUUAAAGUCAAGGAGUCUUCAGUAGGAUUAGUAGUGCAAUAGGUAAUCCUUUGUUUGCUGACGAUUGUACAAUAGGAGUGGAAAGGAUUUUCUAUGCGCGUGUGCUUAUAGAGAUGAAUGUCACCAAGGUACUUCCAAAGGUGCUAUCCGUGCCGGACCCGAGUGGUAGAAUUUUUUGGCAAAAACUGGAGUAUGACUGGGUGCCAGUAUAUUGAAAUACAUGCCUAAUGGUAGGCCAUAAAUAUAGCUUGUGGAGAAGAAGGCUCCUCCUGAACAUAGGAAGCCUAAGCCUGUACAAACAUGGGUACAAAAGCCUAAUCCUGAAGCUCCACCAGAUAUGUAAGUAGUCGUUGGGCCAAGUGAGGCAUUCCCACCUUUGAAUCAUACAUGGAAAGAAGCAAAAAACAUAUCAACUACUAAGAAUAAGCAAAAAGAUCAGGUAGAUAUUACACCUCUGACUAAUGGUUUUACUAUGCUGAAAGGUUAUAUUAUAUAGGAUGCAGGUAUUAUGAGUAGACAGGAUGUAGGUCAAUGUAGUAAAUGGGAUGAAGGAGGAGAUCAGAAGAAAAUAUCUAAAUGUGCAUGAUGAUAGUAGCAUGGAAUAUAAGGGGUAUCAAUAAGUUAUUUAAGCAGAAAGAGGCUAGUUUUUUCUCAAAUAAAUAUAGAGUUAGUCUGAUAGCUAUGGUCGAACAUAAGGUGCAACAACAAUAUGCUUCAAAUAUCAUUUAAAAAAUCACAAAAAAUAGAACUAGUGUGAUAUGGAUCCUAUAGAAUACUGAUAGAAUUGACUUUGAGCUUGUCAAAAUGAAUGAACAAUAUAUACAUGGCAAAGUAGAGAUCAAUAAUGAGAGUUUUAUGUUUAUUGCCAUAAAUGGGUUGUAUUCAAUUGUUGAUAGAAGUAAACUAUGGCCUUCUCUUGGCACCAUUGCUGCUGGUAUACACUGACCUUGGAUUCUAAUAGGUGACUAUCACACAAUAGUGGAACAUGAUGACAGGAUUCAAGGAAGUCCAGUACUCGAUAGUGAAACUAAAGAUUUUGCACGAUUCCUGGAAGAUCAUAAACUUAUAGAGCUAAGAUCAGUGGGAAGGAAGUAUACAUGGAGUAAUGGGCAUGUUUAUAGCAAGAUAGAUAGACCUGUAGUUAAUGUUAAAUGGGUGCAAAGGUUUCCCCAUAUUGAAGUUAUUAUGAUGAACCCCGGAUGCUCAGACCAUACUCCAAUUGGUAUUGAUGUUGACAGCAAUAAACCACCUGGAAAAUUGGCUUUCAAAAUUUUUAAUGUACUAGCUAAGCACCUCAGCUUUCCUGUAAUUAUACGACAAGCUUGGCUGAAGCUGGUUACUAGAGUUACUAUAAAGAAGGUGUGGGAGAAAGUUGAGAUAGUAAAAUAAGGUUUAAAGAAUUCAAACAAUAGAGAAUUCACUAGCACUGCUAGUAAAAAUCAAGAAGCUAGAGCAAAGUUGGAGAAACUACAAGUAGAUAUGAGAUCCAACACAUCAGCUGAACUAUUUGGAGAAAAAAAGUAGAUUAAACUAAAGCUUGAAUAGUGGUGUCUUAUAGAGGAGAAUACUCUGCAACAAAAAUCUAGGAUGACAUGGCUUAGAUUAGGAGAUGCAAACACAAAAUAUUUCUUUGCAGGUGUAAAGGGUAGACAAGCUCAAAAUAAGAUCAAGAACCUAGUAUCCAUAAUAGGCAACAUACUGAAUUCCCAAGAUGGUAUAUGGAAAGAGUUAUUGAUUUUUAUUCUGCUCUUCUAGGUACUGCAGCCAACAUUGUACCUACUUUUGAUCCUACAGUAAUGAGAGAUUUGUGAACAUUGUUUGUUGUCUGUUGUUGCUGUUGCUGUGGUCGCUUCUUAGUUUUGCUUCGGGAGUAGUCCUUUGAACGUGUGUGUGCCUUGUAUCUCCUAGCUGCUGCUUUGAUAUUGACACCGGGUAUAUCCUUAUAUUUUCCUAUUUUUUCGUGUAGUUGUGGCUGUGGGUGGUACUAGGCAAGUUAACGAAUGAAGUUCAAUAACCUAGUAUGAUUGUUCAAAAGUUCUUUAACCCUGGGUUUUCUCCUAUUGAUUGUUUCAAGAUCUUUACUUUAUGCAUUGUCUAUUUUUCUUGAGUUAUAAAUUACAAACUCUCUUUUCAGUUAUGACUGCAUCAACUAAAAAAAAAUUGUGAACUAAUAUAGAAUUGUUGUUCAAUCAAGUCUUUGUGGGAUCGUUACUUGGCUUCUGGAAAGCCACUUUACUACUUGAUAAGUCCACAUACACUUGUGUGUGUGCAUGGGUGCUGUCAAUUUUUGUGGGAAAAUGUUAGUUUAUCAUGGGAUUUAGUUGUUAAUUAAUGGAUAGGCUAGGUCGAAGAUCAUUGGGGACAAUCUUUCGACUAAACCCAAACGAUUUCACCCAUUGGCCCUUUCGAACACCUAACAAGUGCAGAGCUCAUAUAGCCACCCAAAACCUAAACCAAGCAUCCCUAUUUAUAGAAUGAUGCUCUUUACAUGAUUUAUACUCCCUAAACACUUAUUUCUAAGAUUCCAAAGGGUAAUAAACCAUAGACUUAAUUGUUCACCAUUGCUUUUUCCCCUGAUAACCCUCUUUCGAGGAUGUUAUGGCUUACGUAAUAUUCACCUAAACCCCUCUGCCAAGGCUGAAAAAAUGUUUCAAGAGCUUGGAGCUUUCACCUAUCAAACCCAUUUGGAUAUUUGGAGUUUUCACCCAUCAAAUUCUAAUACAUAAUCUCAAGUAAUGGUUAAAUCCAUACUCAACAACUAAAAUCAAUGUAAACACAACAAUACCAACACACAAUCACACUCUAGUUCAAAACGUAAUCCCAAGACUAUAUUAUUUAAAUACUCAUGCACAAAGUAAAGAGAGUAUACCAUGUUGUUCAAUCAUAGCAUUCAUUCUUUAACUAUAAAAUAUGAAAUUUAAUCCUCCAAAGUUGAUUACACACUUUCCAAUUAGGUUUUCAAGCUUAGAAUUCAAAACUAUCUUAUGAGAUAAGCAAUACCCAAAGAAAAAAGGGGUUUUUCUUAUAUAUAAUUUGGGAUUCAUCCAUGAUGUUUUUCAAUUUUUCCCUCGGGCCAGUUCCUAUUGAUCCAUGAUCGCGUGUGUUUGACCGCGACUAUGGCUAUGCGAUCGCAGCUAGGUUUCACUACUUGGUUUUUCUGACCACCUGAAAUGACGACAACUGUGGUCUAAGGAUCACUAUCGUGGUAACGGAGGCUGACUGCUUUAGGUUUCUAGUUGCACUCUUUUUGCUUCUAUUUACUCCCUUUUUUGCUCCAUUCCAUAUAUGCUUACCUUCUUUACUUCAUACCUGCAAAAUGUAGGUGUUAGUGCACUUAAAUAUGAAUAACUCCUCAUUUUCUAAUACAAAACAUGGUAGUGUAUGAGUAUAAUAUGUAUGAAUGAGUGGUAGAAUUACCACUCAUCAUUAAUUUACAUUGAAGUUGAUUAUAAAUUUGAGUAAAAUUCAUAAUUAACCAUAAGAAGGUUUUUGGGAUCAAUAGGCGAAAGGAACCCAAGGAUGAACACCCCACAUACCUUACUUUCUUGAUUUCCUAAUUCCUUGAUUUCUUGAAGGAGAACAUGAAUUUGGAUCCUUGGAAGUUGAACUUUGGAAAGAAACCCUAAUUUCUUUUAUCUUAAGAGGAGAGAGGAGAGUAAACCUUGAAAACUGAGUGAUAAUGUGAAACUAUCAUUUGUUAGAUGAUUUAAGUCAUGGUGAGUAGGGUUUGAGGUGAGGAAAUAAUAAGAAUAACCCUAGGGAAACUAAAUAAAAAUUACAGAAAUUUCCAGUUGAUGACUUAUAAACUUAAUAAUCACCUCCUCUUAAUGAUCUGGCUAAGGCUGACAACUUAGUUUAUAUCCUAUCAAAGAGUGGAUAGCUUAUCAACCUAUUGGUUACCCUAUUUUAAUGAUCUUAUUAAGGCUAAUGAUUUAGUUUAUAGCCGGUCAACUAGUUGAAGGCUUAUCAACCUAGUCAUUGCCUUCUCUAAUGAUCUUGUUAAGGAUGACGACUUAGUUGAUAGCCAGACAACUAGUUCACAGCUUAUCAACCUAGUCAUUACCUUUCCUAAGUGAUGUUAGAUACUUUCUAGUUAAGGAAUAUGAUGAGGUUGGUAGAUCGCCACUUAGUUGAUGGAUUAUAACCUUAAGUCAUCAUCGUGUAGCUAGAUUUAGUCACAUUCUAGCUAAGGCUGAUGAUGAGAUGAAAGCUUAUCACUUAUAUGAUGGAUUAUCGCCUUAAGUCGUCUCCAUGUUUAUAGACAAACACUAAGUUGAUGCCUUAUAAACUUAGUCAUCGCCUUCUCUUAAUGAUCUGGAUAAUGCUGACAACUUUGUUGAUAAGCUGUCACCUAGUUGAUGGCUUAUCAACUUAGUGGUCACCUUAUUUUAAUGAUCUAAUUAAGGAUAAUGACUUAGUUUAUAGCCUGUAAACUAGUUGACGGCUUAUCUACCUAGUCGUUGCCUUUUCUAGUAAUCUCGUUAAGGUUGCUGACUUAGUUUAUAGCCUGACAACUAGUUCACAGCUUAUCAACCUAGUCGUCAUCUUUUCUAAGUGAUGUUGGAUACUUUCUAGUUAAGAAAAAUGAUGAGGUUGAUCGAUCGUCACUUAGUAGAUGGCUUAUAACCUUAGGUCAUCACCGUGUAGCUAAAUUUUAUCACAUUCUAGUUAAGGCUGACGAUGAGAUGAUAUCUCAUCACUUAGAUGAUGGCUUAUCACCUCAAGUCGUCACCUUGUUGAUAGACAAACACUCCGAAGUAAAAUAAGCAUAACAUUCUACUACAAUGUCUUAUUAAGAUGAAGUUUGAUGUAUUGGAAAUAAAAUUCACAUAUCUUUCAUUUUAUAUAUAGUAGGAUACUUGAAUCAUUAUAUUCUUGGAAUUGCACUAGUUUAAAUUUGACCCUUAUAGGAUCAAAAACAUGAACUCAAUCGAUAAAAGUGUUCUCAACUCCACUUUGCUCUAAGUUCUUCCCAUGAACAUGAUUUGCAUCAAAAAAAAAAUUAUACAUAAAGUGAAUGGUCAUGAAAAAUAUAUUAAUAUACCAAUCAUAGGACUAGAGUUUUUACAUGUAGGAAUGACGGUUCAAAUUUUACCCCAAAAAUGUAGGGAGGGGGUAUUACAUUAUCUCCCCCUUGGAAUCAUUCGUCCUCGAACGAUGGAUAGGAACUUGUUGAAGUAUUAGAAGUAUGGAAUAUCAUAGCCAUGGCAUGUAAUCUAAUGCUGUUUUAUAUUCCUUAUGGGUGCCGUAUCUAUGUUAUGUCAUCUGCUUCUGUGCUGUACUAUGUGUUUGUGUGAUAUCUCGUGACUUGAGCCGGGGGUCUUUCGGAAACAGCCUUUCUACUUCAUCAGAGGUAGAGGUAUGGACUGCGUACAUCUUACCCCCCCAGACCCCACUAAGUGGGAAUACACUGGGUUUGUUGUUGUUGUUGUUGUUGUUGUAGUAAUGAGAGAUGGAAAUAUGCUUAACAGGGCUCAACAACUAGAGUUAAUCAAACCAGUCACUAGACAGGAAGUGUUAGAAGCCCUCAGUGUUAUAGAUGGAAAUAAAGCACUAGGCUGUGAUGGUAUGAAUGCAUGUUUUUUCAAAAAUCUUGGCCUGUGCUAGGUACUGAAGUUACUGAUGUUGUGCUUGAAUUUUUUACCAAUGGGACAAUGUUUAGACUAGUGAACUAUACCAGUGUGACCUUGAUCCCAAAGGUUAAAAAUCCUAAGACAAUUAAAGAGUUUAGGCCAAUCUCCUAUUGUACUACCUUGUAUCAUAUUAUCACAAAAGUAAUCACUUCUAGGAUGAAACAGUUAAUGGAUACUUUGAUUGAUACUUGUCAGGUAGCUUUUGUACUAGGUAGAGUAAUAACAGAUAUGAGAUGGUAAAAGGAUAUGGUAGGAAAGGUAUUUCUCCAAGGUGCAUGUUAAAUAUAGAUAUUCAAAAGGCAUAUGACUCUGUGGAGUGGCCAUUUAUAGAACCAAUGCUGAGAGGUCUGAAUUUUCCUGAAAGAUUUGUGCACUGGAUUAUGAAAUACAUAAGUACUAUCUCAUACUCUAUGAUGAUCAAUGGAGGCCCAUCUACUCCAUUUCUUGCUAAAAGAGGGUUGAGUCAAUAUCUUUGUUAUUGUAAUGGAAUACCUCAUAAGGUUGUUGAAGGGUCUGAGAAUACAAAAGAAGUUUAAAUUCCAUCCUAAGUAUGCAAAAGUGAAUCUGAUUUAUCUGGGAUUUGCAGAUGAUUUUUGUUUUGAAAAGAUAUUUAAUUGUUACUCAAUAUUUUCUAUGGCUUCAGGAUUGCAAGCAAAUGCCAAUAAAAGUUCUGUUUAUUUUGGAGGGGUGCCAGGUAAUAUACAAUAUCAGAUUCUGGAAGUGUUAGGUUUCACCAUUAGUACUAUGCCUUUUAGAUAUCUUGGAGUUCCUUUGAGUACAAAAAGGAUCUCCAUCACUCAGUGUUAGCCACUGAUUGAGAAGAUUAUGAACCGGAUUACAUCCUAGACCACUAAGUAAUUGUCAUAUGCUGAUAGACUUCAGUUGAUCAAGAGUGUCUUAUUUUCAAUACAAACCUACUGGUCACAAGUUUUUGUGCUUCAUAAAUGUGUUAUUCGGGGUAUGGAAAGCUUGUGCAAAAGAUUUCUAUGGACAUGAACAAAAGAGAUCUCAAAAAAAGCACUUAUAACAUGGGAAAAUUUAUGCAAACUCAAGACAUAUGGAGGUGUGAACAUCAUUGACCUGACUACUUGGAACAAGGACGCUAUACCUAAAAUACUAUAGAACCUAUGCCGGAAAAAAUAUAAGAUAUGGGUGCAUUGGGUGCAUACUUAUUACAUAAAAAAUGAGAUAAUCGGAGAGGUGAUACCUAGACAGGCUUCCUGGAUACUGUAAAAGAUUUUAAAGGCUCACAAAUAUUGGCUAGCAGUUGGGUAUACAAUGGUAGAUUUUGAAGAUAUGCACCAGUUUCAUAUAUGCCAAAUGUAUAAACGACUGAUGGGGUGCUUCCAAAAAGUGGAGUGGAGAAGAUUAGUUUGUUACAGCUAUGGAGUUCCUAAGUGGAUUUUCAUUUUAAGAUUGGCCAUUAUGAACAGAUUGUACACUAAAGAUAGAUUAGCUAAGGAAGAUGCAGGUGGAAACCCAAUGGGUACUAUGCAGGAAAGAAGAUGAGAUAGUUGAACACUUAUUUUUCUAGUGUGAUUAUGCUGCUGCAAUAUGAAAUGCAUUGUUGCGAUGGAUAAAUAUGCAAAGAACUGCAAUUACAUGGAGCAGUGAAAUAACCUAGAGUGUAACAAAUAUCAAAGGGAAAUCAACCACUGCUCAUGUGUUCAUGAUGAUGUUGGUUGCUUACAUUUACUACAUCUGGCAUGAGAGGAACAACAGAAUAUUUAGGGAAAUAGAUGUACAGCCUGAUAGCACAGUGCAAAAAGUAAUAUAGAAAGUGAUACUUCUCGUUAGUUCAAAGCUGAAGUUAGCUAGUGUGGUGCCUACUCUGAACUAUUAACCAUAAAUGUGAUAGAUUCGUAGUGAAGGGAUAGUGUUGCACCCAGUCUGUGUUACCAGGCUGGAGGAUUGCUCUAUAAUGUCCACUUUUGGUAAUAAAAUAAAAUUAUUAACCAAAAAAAUAAUUUCAAGAUCAAUAUUAUAUGCCACAGUUUCUCAGAUUGUUGAAAAACAAUGGUAAAACGUCAAUAAAAAUGUUAUCAAUUUGUUAGCAAAAACAUAAUAAUGAUAAUAAUAAUAAUAAUAUCAAUAUAAUAA